UACGUAGGGUGCGAGCGUUGUCCGGAAUCACUGGGCUUAAAGGGUGCGUAGGCGGCGCGACAAGUUGGGUGUGAAAUCCCUCGGCUCAACCGAGGAACUGCGCCCAAAACUGUCGUGCUCGAGGGAGACAGAGGUGAGCGGAACUUAGGGUGGAGCGGUGAAAUGCGUUGAUAUCCUAAGGAACACCGGUGGCGAAAGCGGCUCACUGGGUCUCUUCUGACGCUGAGGCACGAAAGCUAGGGUAGCGAACGGG
This 253-nucleotide ribosomal RNA is filed under the name uncultured bacterium. Its description in RNAcentral is "partial 16S ribosomal RNA". It matches the Rfam family "Bacterial small subunit ribosomal RNA", at positions 524 to 776 of the family's 1533-position model. The record is from RNAcentral.